AGAGAGAGAGAGAGAGAGAGAGAGAGAGAGAGAGAGAGAGAGAUGUUGAUAAAAGGGUCAAUAUAAUUGAAAAUCAUGCAUCAGUGAUUUUUGUUUUUGUUUAAUUCUCAAAAGAUUUAAUCACAUUCUGUUCUAUUUUCAGCAGAUACUUUAAUAAUAAAGAAUGGGUGAAAAAAUUCUCACAUUAUCAUGCUGCAUAAUAGUACAUUUCAGCUGUAACAAAACAAAUAAUCUGAUGAAAUCUUCAACCACGAGAAUCUAGGAAAGGAUGUCAAGUCCAAAGAGAAGGCCAUAUAACAAAUGGUUGCUGAAUUCAUGAAGACUAGCUGGGUUGAUACAGUACUUUUCUACUUA
Molecule: long non-coding RNA, 354 nt
Organism: Saccostrea cuccullata (small rock oyster)
Lineage: Eukaryota; Metazoa; Mollusca; Bivalvia; Ostreida; Ostreidae
Exons: 3
Source: RefSeq, a predicted model, not a curated record